This is a long non-coding RNA of Astatotilapia calliptera (eastern happy), 934 nucleotides long. NCBI's taxonomy places the organism in Eukaryota, Metazoa, Chordata, Actinopteri, Cichliformes, Cichlidae. The record is from Ensembl.
CAGAGGAGGAUGCUAAUCAGUUUAAGCUGCUUUGGUGCUAAUGAAAUUAACAACAAGUGCACCAGAGGGCUAAAAGUGAGACAACCUCCGAGUCGGGAAUGAUUUUACAGACGGAGGCCACUGACAUUGUCCCUCCGUGUGUUUUCACUCUGAGUUUCAGGUGUCUGUAGCUCUAUCUCCGCCUGAAAGCGCCUGAAAGCAGCAUGAUGAAGGCGGUUCCUGUGUCGGUUGGGUGGGGGCUAUAAAAGGUGCGACUGCGCGCCUCCUGUUUCAAUUGCCUUUCCUCCAUCGAGCGCAGCAGUUUCCCAUCACAUCAGCAUGAAGAAGCUAAGCAUCGUUUUCGUCGCAGUCCUGCUGCUGGCUCUCAAUCUUACCUCCCAGGUGGCCGAGGCACAAGGUAAAAGCGGAACCGGAGGCACCAACACCCAGAACUCGACUACAGCCGCACCGUCGAGCGCCAGCGGGAGUCCCGCCGCCUUCACGCUGCUCGUCGCUCCGCUGCUUCUGUCCACGGUUCUCCUGCACGGCUGGUCCGGAUGAUCUGAUCCGCGCUGGACAUUCGGAAGCCGGCAGGGGACACAACGUUAGUGUUUAAUAAAAGGCAGAAAAAGGAAAUCACAUAAAGUAGGGAGCUUAACUAUUUACUGUUGAGCGGGCGAAACGAGCGCGACGCGCCCCGGGCCCCGUCGCGCCCCGGGCCGCGCCCUGCUCCUUUCCGCAUCCUGCUCUUCAUCAACUCUGAAACGCAACCAAUCCUCCCGCCAGUAACGGAACAUGCUCGAUGAUAAUUCAGAAAUAUUGAACCCUGUGGAAAACAUGUGUAUUCAUGUGUCUGACAACGACUGUAUGUAAAUGAGUUCUGUACUUUCAGAAUGAUGCAAAUCUGAUGUUUGACAUGUGAAUGCUGUGAAAUUAAACUUUAAAUUGUAAAAAA